AUGGUCCGCUGCGAUGCCUCGACCGCGAUGCUACUAAAGCGUGGUUCGCUGCAGACCGGCGGUGCGGUGCUGCUGCCACGCCCCGACGGUGAUGCUGCUUUGCAGCACGUGGUUCGCUGCAGUCCAGCGAUAGCGGGUGUUCCGUUGCAGACGUGGCUGUCGCACAUUGCUGACUGCCCGCAACGGUGGCGCUGCUGCAAAUGGCGCGGGACUGGAAACCGGAGCCCCGCUCUUGCGAGCGCGAGCGCUAUUGCUUGCCCGUAUCCGGCCACCGGCGGAGCCCAUCCGCAACUACCACGCCAACCCAGCUUUGUUUGGCCUGUUCACGAAUCAAUGGUGACCUGUCUUGCCUUAUCGGAGACAUGGCCUCGACGAGCUGCUCGUUCGGAGUCGAGCACAACACUAACUGGAACAGGAAGCCCCAAGUCGCCGAUUCCUCCGCAGCCGGCGGCUGUGUAG
RNAcentral lists this ribosomal RNA (459 nucleotides) under Triticum aestivum (bread wheat). RNAcentral describes it as "partial small subunit ribosomal RNA". The record is from RNAcentral. Lineage: Eukaryota; Viridiplantae; Streptophyta; Magnoliopsida; Poales; Poaceae.